Molecule: ribosomal RNA, 397 nt
Filed under: uncultured bacterium
Lineage: Bacteria
Description: partial 16S ribosomal RNA
Rfam family: Bacterial small subunit ribosomal RNA
Source: RNAcentral
AUACGUAGGUGGCGAGCGUUGUCCGGAAUGAUUGGGCGUAAAGGGCGCGUAGGCGGCCUGGUAAGUCUGAAGUGAAAGUCCCGCUUUCAAGGUGGGAAUUGCUUUGGAUACUGCUGGGCUUGAGUGCAGGAGAGGAAAGCGGAAUUCCCGGUGUAGCGGUGAAAUGCGUAGAGAUCGGGAGGAACACCAGUGGCGAAGGCGGCUUUCUGGACUGUAACUGACUCUGAGGCGCGAAAGCGUGGGGAGCAAACAGGAUUAGAUACCCUGGUAGUCCACGCGGUAAACGAUGAAUGCUAGGUGUAGGAGGUAUCGACCCCUUCUGUGCCGGAGUAAACACAAUAAGCAUUCCGCCUGGGGAGUACGGCCGCAAGGUUGAAACUCAAAUGAAUUGGCGGGG